Molecule: long non-coding RNA, 1016 nt
Organism: Tetranychus urticae (two-spotted spider mite)
Lineage: Eukaryota; Metazoa; Arthropoda; Arachnida; Trombidiformes; Tetranychidae
Source: RefSeq, a predicted model, not a curated record
UAACAAUAAACACAAUUUUGGGUUAAUCUGAGAACACUUAAAGGUGAUAAUAACAUGUUUUAAACUGAGAAAAAAAGAGAAGGUAAUUCUUAUUUCAAUGGUGUUUCCAAUAUAUCUUGAUUAGUGUUGAUCUUUCUAAUCUGCUUGGCAAUCAGAUUAAUCAAUGUUGAAGUUGAAAGGGAAAGGUAUCAAAAUCAUUGACAAUUUAUCACUAUUAAAGAUUGAAACAUCAAUUAAUCCUGUACAUUGGCAAGUAAUUUUGCCUCAUUUUGGUUGUAAAGUUAAUCUUGUUUGACCGUAAAAAAGGAUACUAACAAAAGACGAAAAGUAUAACAAAUAAUUUAUUCUUUCUUUAUACAGACAACUUUGUAUUGUUUCAAUUUCAAGAUUUAAUUUUCUGUUAAAAGCAAUUCUAAUUAUAAUUACGACCAAUAGGAAAAUUGGAAAAAACCAUUUUCCCAUUUUCAAUAUUCUGAUGGCUAAAGAGAUAAGAAACUGGCGCCUUAAUGUUUCAUGAGCAAGGGUUCAACUUAAAAUGUGUUAACUUGGACGCCAUAUUGACAAUACAUUAUGUAAAACCUCUAGACAAUCCAGACUUUAUUUUCAACCCAAAUCCAGACAUUUAACGAUCUUUAAACUAGAUAAUGUUGAUUUGGAUUUACGAUUAUAUAAUUUUGGAGAUUAAAUUUCACUUUCACUUAUAUCUGCGUGUUUUAAAUGCUUAGUUUUGCUUCAAUUUUCAAUCUUCAGUUUUGCCUUUUGUGCUUUCAAUUUCUUCCACUCAAUUCUCCUCAACGUCUUUGACAUGCAAAGUUAAACAGAUUUUAAUCCAUUAAUCGCAUCUAUUUUUGCUUGUCUAAUACUGAUUGAUUAAAGCCUUGGUUCAACAAAUUGCCAUUAGAAAAGAAGGUUGAAAAUCUGUGAUUGUGUUACCUUAAUGGAAGGGGAAACAUUCCUUUUUUAUAGUGACAAACAAAGAUAAUAAAAUAUAAUCUACAACAAUUGGAUUACAAUUA